AGACAACAGCGAAAUGUUCAAUUUGCUGAUUGAAUUUGGUACAAAAUUUAUUGGUAUCAAUUUACAGGACACGGUACGUUAUACAUAUGUUAUAUAGCAAACCAAAAACUGCAUUCACAUGAAUGAUCGAUCAAAUAUCGAUACCGGACGUGGUAUGUGUCGUAUUUUAUAAGGCAACACAAAGCAAGAAAAAAAUGAAGCUAUACAGAUUUUGUUGAUUGGUAUGAUCGUCGACGUUAUCAGUGGUUGCAUAAUGUUUAAAGUAAUGAAAAUGUUACUAUGUUUAUUUGAUCUAUGAGUUUGACUGUCCUUCUGGUAUUGUUCGCCCUUCUUUCAUAACAAAGUAUCUAUAUCUAAGACAAAAAAGUUAGUUUAUAAUAUUUAUAAACAUGAUUUUAACUCUGUUCUUAUUACUUUGUAGAGACAAAAUUUAUAUCAAAUUAAAAUACUUAUUACAUUCAAUGACAGAGGUUGAAUAUAUAUAAGGGGAUCCGGAUAACAAAAUAUCCUUAAGGAACAAGAGUUCCAUUUGAGUUCUGAAUUACAAUUUGAGAAUAACGUUUACAUAUAGAUGUUAGGUGCCUAAAUUAUACUUAUAGGAACUACUAUAACUUUACGGUAUGCACGAUCUUAAGAACGAACACGAACAACUGUCAACGCUCGCUUUAUCAUCACGAAGAAAGGAAUUAUCAUCUCCUUCAUCAUAUAAAUUGGAUCAUAUUGCUAAUUUCUUGUCAUGAUUUUUACACUGCGUGUAUUUCAUUCUGUUGAAUUAAACGUGAUUAGUUCACACUUAUACAUGGAAUAUUUCAACAUACAGUGGUAGUUGUUUUAAUCUUAAAUAAAAAUGUCAAAUGAACAAACAAUGUUUAAAAGUCAAUAACAAAAAUAUAAAACUGUAAGGCAAAUUCAAAACGAAAAUCACUUAUACAGUAUCAAAAUCAAAAGUUCAAAACAUUUCAAACGAAUCGAAGACAACUAUUUUAUUCUUGACUUGGUACAGGCAUAUCGUUAAUGAAGGUCGCAUAAGAUUACAUUAUAUUGACAACAAUGUGCAUAAGGUGCCCGUAUUUACAAUUCCGUAAAUAUUUUUUACAAAUCGAGGAUUUAGAUAAGUGUUACAACAAGGAGAUAAUCAUUUGUAUGUGUUCGACAUCUGACUUUCGUUUUGAAAUGAAUUGACAUAUUCGUCAGCAUAAAUUUGUUUAUAACUAUUUAUAUGAUUAAUUAGGGGUCACGCAAGCCGAGUUGUCUAAGUAGUGAAACUACUGCAUAUCAACACAGAGGUUGCCUGUUCAAAUCCUCCUCAUGGCAUGUGCACUCGACUCCAAACUUAAUUGACUACGAUUGUCAGUUUUACUUCGGAAGGUUGGUGGUACUCACAGGGCACUCUGGCUUCCUACAUCAAUAAAAAAAAUUAUCACAACAAAUUUAACAAAUGUGUAUAAAUAGCCUUUAAGACUAAUUAAUCAAUCUAUUAAUUAGUCAAUGUAAACUAAAUGUUUUUGAGUUUAACGAAUGGUUCUUAUAUUGGAAGUCGUGAUCAACGUACAAAUUUAAUAAACAGGUUCUAAUACUUAGUACCUAAUACUAGAGCAUUUGCAUUAUUCACGUAUCAGGAUACGUGCACGGAUCGACGUAUACGUAUCGAACAGAUUUGUUUACAAUAAUGAUUUUACCCCGAUCUCAAUUAAAAUAAAAUGCAUUAUAUAAUAUUUUCAUCGGGACCAACUUGACUUAAUUUGUCCUUUCCUCAUAUACGUGUUAUACGAUACGUCGAUACGGAUACGCCAGCAAAUACUUGAUUAAUGCAAAUGCUCUACUAGUAUACAAUCAAUCGACAUACGACUAUUAUCCAUCUAAUAAUAUAGCGGUUUUAAAUAUAACGUAAAUAGGUUUUUUUUCCUAAUCUAAACUUCAAUUUCGUUUUACCACUUUUUAAGGUUGGAAACACUGUGCUUCAUGUAGCUGCAAACAAAGAUCCGCAGAUGGUCACAUAUUUGCUAAACAAUAAUUGUGAUCUAAACAUACAAAAUGCUAAAGUAAGUAUCAGGAGAAUAUACUAUUGUAACUGAUUUGAGAUUAUAACAGAGGUCAAAUCUAUGUUAACGCCAUACGCAUUUUAAGUGAAACCUUUGUAUUACUGUAGAUUCAUUUCUUUUUGUGGGUAUCAAUUUUCGUGGAAUGAGGAUAAACUUGCAUUUUCGUGGAUAUUUGAUUACGUGCUUUUUCAAAUCUGUAAAUACAAAUCCUAAAGAAUAUUGAUAAUUCGCUGAACAUUUGAAUUCGUGUUUUACCUAAUGACACGAAAUCCACGAUCAUUGGUAUGCAACCAAUAAUAAUGAAUUUACAGUAAGUCUUCUGGCUCGUUCGAAAAUUUAUCGGGGAUUGAUCGAUUUGAAUUUAAUCCAACGUUUCUGCGAAUAACAUUUUAAAAAUAAUGUGGGGAUUAUUUCAAUCUUGGUCAGGUGCUAUUGAAUAAAAAAAAAAUGACCAUAAUUUAGGUAGCAAUACACAGUUAAAAGUGUGGUUUCGCAUUUUGUCCCCUGUUGAUUUAUUUAGUUUUAGACAGCUGAGUACUAAUUUAGCCUUUAAAGUUGGUUUAAAAGAAUAUAAAGAGUACUUUUGUAUACUGUAAAUUCAUAAAUUAAUGCGCGGUUUUUAUUAUUGCAAAAAUUCUCAUUUUGAAAUAUUUAUAUGAAUUAAACAGGAUUGUUCUCAAAAUCGUAAAAGCUAAAUUGCAUUUAAGUCUAAAAUGACAGAUUCACAAUAAUAAAUGCAUGCAAUAAUUUUUGAAUUUACAGUAUGUUGUAUGUGCUAUUUUCUGUUUGACUGUGCGUAUCUUCAUAGCUUAACCUGCCAUAGGUCCAGACAUUAAUAUAAUGUUUACAAAUACUUUUUUAAACAGUUUGUUUAGCAAUUUAACAAUAAAAGAGACGAACGAGAUAUGAUUUUUACUUGAUUUCUUGAUAGAUAAAAUGUAAACAGUUUUUAAAAUGGUAUCACUCCAAUAUAUCUUUACCCCCCCUUCCUUUUUGCAUUAUUUUAUAGCAAAUAAAUGCAGAUUGUUGCCAUGAUAUGGAUACACCAAAGGAAAAUUAUGAUAUAUAAUUUGUACUACUAUAUAUCAAAUAUAUGGUAGAAAAUGACACAUAUAUGGCAAAACAGUACACUCAAUUUGUAAGUAAGCAAGAAAAAAUGAAUUGUAAAAUUUUUGUCCUUUUUGACGUAUUUGUUUGUAGUGAUUCAUGUGACGUUGCUCGAUACUUGUACAUCUUAUCAUUGUGCAAGGUAGCAAUACACAGUUAGGAGUGUGGUUUCGCAUUUUGCUCCCUGUGGAUUUUUCAAAAAUGAAAGUUAUUGAGCAAUAAAAAUAUUUUUUUAAUAAUAAUAAUAAUAAUAAUGAAAAUUUAUCAAGCGCCCUAUAUAAAAAAAAAAAUACUCUAAGGUGAUGUGUACUAAUUAAGCCUUCAAAAUUGGUUUAUUAGAAAAUAUAGAGUAUUUUUUACAUGUUUUAUGGGCUCAUUUCUGUUUGACUGUGCGUUUUUUCAUAGCUAGAUCGACCAUGGGUUCAGACAUUAUUGUCAUGUUUACAAAAGCUUUUUAUGUACAGGAAGUUUUUACGCAAUUUUACAAAACAACGAGACGAUAACCAUAUGAUUUUUAUUUGAUUUCUUGAUAGACAUUUGUAAACAAUUUUCAAAAAGGUUUCACUCCAUGGGAUUGAAACUCUACUUCUGUCAAAAUCUUUGGCAAAACAAUUGUAGUUACCUCAAGCUAUGACUUAAAAUAACCACAAAAAGCCGACUGCUGAUAAAAUCAACUUUAGGAAAAAUCAUACAGGAUAUAGAUGAUAAAUUUGGUUGAACUAACAUUUUAAUGUCGAAUAGCCCUGAACAAAUUAUAAUGCACGAUGAUUAACCCUUUUUCAAAAUCCUUUGAAUCUAUCUCGCAUUCAACUGUAGUCACUGCUGUAUGCAAAAUAGCAGCGUCAAAUUAAAGAAAUCUGUUGACUGGACUGACGAAGAAACAAGUAUAUGAAAUCCAUCUGGUGCCGAUGAUACUUUUCACAGACGACCAUUACAUGGCCACCAAUAUUUUACAAUUGAUUCGAUAUUCCCGGCCUAGUAUGUCCUAUCUACUUUUUUACUAUUUACUUGAUCAUUUGUUGAUAGAGGGUAACUGCCCACAAUGAAGCUUUUGAACAAAGAAUUCCAAAAAGUGAAGUAUAAAUCAUCCCUUCGUAAAUUCACUGACCCAUAACGAGUUGUUUGACCGUUAUGGAAUAACCGUUUCACUGAUUAUAACGGAUGUGUUUCUAAUGUCGUAACGACAAUCCCGUCCCCUUUUCACGAAUGUGUCCUACCGAAUUAGACUUAAGCUUGUAACCGGUUUUUUUUAUAACAUGAACAACACAACGGGUGCCAUUUGUGGAGCAGGAUCAGCUAACCAUUCCAGAGCCCCUACGAUCACCCCUAGUUGUUGGUUGGGUUCGUGUUGCUUAGUCUUUACUUUUCUAUGUUGUGUUUUGUGUACUAAUGUUUGUCUGCUUGUCCUUUUUUUAAGCUAUGGCGUAGACAGUUUAUUUUCAAUUUAUGUGUUGACUGUCCAUCAGAGAGUUGCUCUACACAAUUAUUUAUUACUAUAUGGAAACAUAUACAAGUUUGUCUUUACCAUGUAUUGUCAACAAUUCGAAGGGCUCUUUGGUAUAAUCAAACAAAUGGCGCACAUUCGAAGAAGUGGUAGGAGCAAUAAAUUGACACCAUUUUAACAUUUAAGACAAGACAUCGAGUUUCUUCGGUGACACAUUGCAAUGCUUAUAGCGAAUAGACUUUUAGUUAUAACCGGUGUAUUUUUCUUAUCGGAUAUGCAUCAACGUAUAACUGACAAACUAUUGAGUAUAAACAUAUACCGUUUGCUCAUUACACAGAAUUAACGUCCGUAGGAAAUUCAAAAAUUGACAAGAUUGAAAAUGUUACACAUAAUCGAUGUGUUGUAAUAUCUAAUUAAAAGAAAACUUGUUUGAUUUAGUGGAAAAGACCAGUAGAAUAUGCAGAAAGCGACGCC
This 5067-nucleotide long non-coding RNA is filed under the name Mytilus galloprovincialis (Mediterranean mussel). Lineage: Eukaryota; Metazoa; Mollusca; Bivalvia; Mytilida; Mytilidae. The record is from RNAcentral.